Molecule: ribosomal RNA, 253 nt
Filed under: uncultured bacterium
Lineage: Bacteria
Description: partial 16S ribosomal RNA
Rfam family: Bacterial small subunit ribosomal RNA
Source: RNAcentral
UACGAAGGGGGCUAGCGUUGCUCGGAAUCACUGGGCGUAAAGCGCACGUAGGCGGAUCUUUAAGCCAGGGGUGAAAUCCUGGAGCUCAACUCCAGAACUGCCUUUGAUACUGGGGAUCUCGAGUCCGGAAGAGGUGAGUGGAAUUCCGGGUGUAGUGGUGGAAUACGUAGAUAUCCGGAGGAACACCAGCGGCGAAGGCGGCAUCCUGGACCGACACUGACGCUGAGGAGCGAAAGCCAGGGGAGCAAACGGG